Molecule: ribosomal RNA, 460 nt
Filed under: uncultured bacterium
Lineage: Bacteria
Description: bacterial SSU rRNA
Rfam family: Bacterial small subunit ribosomal RNA (bases 1-409)
Source: RNAcentral
AAGCCGGGCACUCUAAGGGGACUGCCAGCGACAAGUUGGAGGAAGGAGAGGAUGACGUCAAGUCAUCAUGGCCUUUAUGCCUAGGGCCACACACGUGCAACAAUGGCCGGUACAGACGGAGGCAAUGCCGAGAGGCGGAGCAAACCCGAGAAAACCGGUCCCAGUUCGGAUUGAGGUCUGCAACUCGACCUCAUGAAGUCGGAAUCGCUAGUAAUCGCAUAUCAGAACGAUGCGGUGAUACGUUCCCGGGCCUUGUACACACCGCCCGUCACACCACGAAAGUUUGUUGUACCCGAAGUCGGUGCCUUAACCUCGCAAGAGGAGAGAGCCGCCCAAGGUAUGGCCGAUGAUUGGGGUGAAGUCGUAACAAGGUAGCCGUAGGGGAACCUGCGGCUGGAUCACCUCCUUUCUAGGAGAGAAGGGUCCUGGAUGAAGCGCUCCUAUUUAGUCUUGUGAGGAU